CAGCAGCUGUGCUCAAAACAGGAUUAUCUCUUGUUUUUCCUCUCUUUCUUUUUAAACACCUGGUUGGGGCAAAGGUCAGCUGGCUUUUUCAGCUGUGUUUCUCACUUGGAAUCAAGGGCAGCUCGUUUUUUCCAGCCUGGCUCCAUCUGCCUCUGUCUGAGCGGGUGAAGAAGCAUGUCCUGGUCCAUGGGGUGUUUGCAUCCUGGUUCCAGCAGCAUGAGAUGCCCAGGGAUGGAUGGAGGGGCCUGGCCACGCUUGGAAGGAAGGCAGCAGCGUUUGGGCUAAAUUUUUGAGCUCUCCAAGGGGAGUUUGAAGAUCUGGCUGUCAGAAAGAAGCACCAUGCCAUUAAUCAUCUGUGUUUGCACAGCAUUGAGCGGAGCAAAGUCUUGGCUUGGGAUGGGGCAGCCGAUGCUGUCAUAACAUGAAGAAUAAGCAUC
Molecule: long non-coding RNA, 437 nt
Organism: Centrocercus urophasianus (Greater sage-grouse)
Lineage: Eukaryota; Metazoa; Chordata; Aves; Galliformes; Phasianidae
Exons: 2
Source: RefSeq, a predicted model, not a curated record